GAUGAACGCUGGCGGCGUGCUUAACACAUGCAAGUCGAACGGCGAACACGGAGCUUGCUCUGUGGGAUCAGUGGCGAACGGGUGAGUAACACGUGAGCAACCUGCCCCUGACUCUGGGAUAAGCGCUGGAAACGGCGUCUAAUACUGGAUACGAGUAGCGGCCGCAUGGUCAGUUACUGGAAAGAUUUUUUGGUUGGGGAUGGGCUCGCGGCCUAUCAGCUUGUUGGUGAGGUAAUGGCUCACCAAGGCGUCGACGGGUAGCCGGCCUGAGAGGGUGACCGGCCACACUGGGACUGAGACACGGCCCAGACUCCUACGGGAGGCAGCAGUGGGGAAUAUUGCACAAUGGGCGAAAGCCUGAUGCAGCAACGCCGCGUGAGGGAUGACGGCCUUCGGGUUGUAAACCUCUUUUAGCAGGGAAGAAGCGAAAGUGACGGUACCUGCAGAAAAAGCACCGGCUAACUACGUGCCAGCUGCCGCAGUAA
RNAcentral lists this ribosomal RNA (485 nucleotides) under uncultured bacterium. Its description in RNAcentral is "partial 16S ribosomal RNA". It matches the Rfam family "Bacterial small subunit ribosomal RNA", at positions 28 to 523 of the family's 1533-position model. The record is from RNAcentral.